Molecule: long non-coding RNA, 841 nt
Filed under: Vombatus ursinus (common wombat)
Lineage: Eukaryota; Metazoa; Chordata; Mammalia; Diprotodontia; Vombatidae
Description: lncRNA (ENSVURG00010011982.1)
Source: RNAcentral
GGCCAACCACUGAGUCUCUCAGGGCUCCUCCUCAUCAGCUAUACCCCUAGCUGGCCCAGGAUGCAGGGGUUCUGAGAGAGAAGGCUGUGACUGGUAAGCAGGGAGACGUAGACAUUCACUGAAACCUUUUCUAAUUAUCAUUUCCACAGAGAGAGACCUGGAUCCAUGGACAAGGCUUGGAAGGCACUGGCAAAGGGGUGGCUUGCUGCCAAAUGAAGCCCGGCUUCAUAGAAAAUGAAACGCACAAAUACCAGAGGAAAAAGGAACAAACAAACAAAAGGAUUUGCUGGAUCCUUCCAACAAACACCAAAGAGGAGAGUUAAGCUGUUUCAUCUGUGAAAUGUGGAGAAGGAUUUCUGAUGAUGCUCACCUCAGAGAAGACUUGGGAAGCCAGAUAGAGGACUCCUGCAGGUAUUACAGAAAUUCAGAGGACUGCCAUCAUUUUAAUUCUAUUAUGUCUGAUAACACCACGAUUCCUGAAGGUACACAGAAAAGCCACAAAAUGAUUGGUACGGUUGCCACUGAUUCAGUAUUCAUAGGCAGAGGGGAAUACAGAAAGACUUCAUGUGGAAGAUGAUACUUAAGCAGAGUUUUGAAUGAAACAAGAUAUUCUAAGAGGUGGAUGGGAACAUCGGAAUGCAUUCCAGGCAGAGUGGACAGCAAGUGUGAAAAUGUGAAGACGGAAGAUGCAGAAUCAUGUGUGAGGAAUAGCAAGAUGGUGAGUUUGGCUGGAUGACAGAGUAUGGGGAAGGGGUAUAAUGUAUAAUAAGACUGGAAAAAUAGGUUGGGGCAAUGUUUUUAAAGCCUUUCUCAAUAAAUGGAGACAUUAAGGGCUAUGUCA